GUGGAAAUUAACUUGUAAUAUGAGGUAUUUGAAAGUAAAAUGGUUUAAGAACACACUCUUAUGGGUUUUAUUUCCUUGUAGGUAUUAUUUUUUAUCCAGUCAAAAAUGUUGAAAUAUCACUUGUCACUGUACAAAUAACAGGAAGUAGUUCAAUAUAGUUUCUCCAUAUUUACUCUCUGUGGUUUUGAGCAAGACUUUUGAGAAGCUUUCAGAAGAUAUGCUGCAGAGAGUCGGUGAGGGCGGCUCAUUGUCUAUAACGAUGAACAUAAUAAUUGCUCUUCUGUGUGAGUACACUAACAGAUAACAUCUAUGUCUUUCAGUCAAACUGUUUUCUGUCUAUUUAAGCUGACAGGAUUCAUUUAAUUUUUCACUUCUUUUCUUCAAGGUAUUCUGACAAAUCAGGUCAUAAGCCAAGGUAAGUUCAGUUUCACUCAUUAAAAGAUAUGUCUCUUCUGUAUUCCUAAAUGUUAUUAAGCUGCACUCAUCAUCACAUAUAUUGCUCAUUAUGAUGUCACACAGAUAUUUUUCCUGCAAAGAUCCUGGCCCAGCAGACAAUUAUAAGUGAAAACAGUGACCUUUAUGUAACAUGCAGCACACUUGAGAGAAAGAAAGACUCCAAGGUUUUUAUUUAUUUGUUAAAAAAUGGGCACGGAAUCCAGAAUCUCACCCAGAAGCAAGAUCGAAGUGACACCAAGUUCAGGAUACCCAGAGCUGGUCUUCAUCACAGUGGAAAUUACAGCUGUGUUUAUUCUCAGAAACCUUAUACACUUUCUGAAGUAGUCAAGAAAGGAGACAACAUCAUUGAGAUUCUGGUCAUAGCCAAUUUUCUCCCAGCAGAUAUUUCAAUAGUUGGGCCAUCCACUGUUCAUGAGGGAGACUAUGUUGAAUUCCAGUGCACAGUGUCUCAACACCUACAUACACUUGGUGGAUGUAAAUUUAUCUACGCUUACCUGAGGAAGAACGACACGAUUCUCCAAGUGCAAGUCUUUAAUGUGUCUCAGAAGCUGGCAACUUUCAUCAUCGAUAGUGCAGUUUUCAAGGAUUCAGGUCCUUACAGCUGCAUAGUGCUGCCAUCAAAAUGCUUCUAUGAGCACGAGUACACAGUUCAUGGAACAAACAAUUUAUUUCUUGAGGUCAAAGGUAAGGGUCUCUGAAUUUUUCAAACAUGCUUCAAAUAGACCUUAAUUUUAAAAAAAGUUAAGUUUAUGCUGUCUUUUUGUGCUUUCCAGUGCAUUUAAUCUCUCUUGGUUUACUGCGUUAUGGAGUGAUAACCUUGAUGGUAUUACUGGUGGCGUUCCUUUGUGGAUCAAACAACAAACAAGCAAAUGCAGACAUGCUGGAGAAAUGACGGGAUGAGAGUGUGGGAAGAUCUAGAUCAGGAGUGUCAAACUGAUUUUAUGUUGUAGGCCACACAGCCCACUAGUUAAGUGGUGCAUCGGCGUAACGUUGUGCUGACCAUUAGGGGGGUCAAGAUGUCUGUCUAAAUAAAUCUGGGUAUAUUCCCAGAUGAUUAAACAUGCAACUAUUUUGCUGGUAAUACCUGAAAUGAGUAAAGAAAAUCAACAGCCUAUUUAUGCAAGCUAAUUCAUAAUUUUAUUGGGGUUGGGGGGGGGGUUAUAUUGAUUGAGUCUGGUUUUUUUUGUGGGGGGGUCAUAACCCCCUAACCCACCUGGAAAUUAUGCCCCUGAAGUGGUGAAGCUCCCCUUCCUUUCAUUGUAAAGAAAUUACAUAUUUAACUGUUUCUCUACGUGAUAAAGGAAAAGCUGCUGUGACAAAGAAAUAAAUAUAUCAGCACAACUCUUUAAAUUGUAAAAUAUAAAUAUGUAAAAUUACAGAAAAAGUUCUGGUAGCUCAUUGCUCAGAUUGUCAAGUUUUGGAUUUUUGUUGUUGUUGUUGUUUUUUUAAACUGUAAUCCUCAGAAAUACAAAUUUCUAUAGUAGAAGAUUUAUAAAAGAAACCUGUCUAUUUAUUGUUUAUUGCCUUAU
This is a long non-coding RNA of Oreochromis niloticus (Nile tilapia), 1985 nucleotides long. The record is from Ensembl. NCBI's taxonomy places the organism in Eukaryota, Metazoa, Chordata, Actinopteri, Cichliformes, Cichlidae.